UUUAGAUUGCAGCCUUGAUUGCACUUUUGUUAAAAGAACUGGUAGUAUUCACAGCCUUAAAAGCUCAAGUGGUGUGCGUUUAGUUGAAUGUUCCAACAGAGCUCAGUUUCUUCUACUUGUGGCUGUUGAAGCAGGCAGACCCCGGGUGAUUCAGUCUGGACCAAAAAAUUAAGGAAAAAGUCUGCUGACACAGGAGGGAAAUGUGCCAGGCUGAUUUAGUAGGUUUUGGAGAAAGGAUUCAAGAAAAAAAGAUGAAGAAUCAUUCAUUCCUGAAACUACAGCUGACCUUAUGACUCCAGAGGAAAAAGAUAAACUCUUUCCUGCUAUUGGUUAUAGUGAGAACACUUUAACUUAACUUUACCCAAGCAGUAUGUUGCCCACAUAAUGACCCUGAAGUUAGUAAGCGCCUCUGUCACACUCAGAGAAAACAAAAAUAUUCCAGAAAUACUAAAAUUCAGAUAAUUGACCUGGGCACCCAUGUAUCUCAGCGACCAGGAGCACAAGCUCUAAGACAACCAUCAAUGCAGUGCUUGAAUUCUUUCGAUCAAACAAGGGUUUGGAUCUUGAGCAAAUAACAUCAGCUACGUUGACAAAGCUGGAAGAAGUUAAAGCAAGAACAGCUAAGGACUUACACAUAUUAUUGAACCUUGAAAAGUCCUUGAUUUAAGGGUCAAUCUAAAGCCUUGUCUGGUAAUUCCUCAGACAGGUUUUCACCAAGAAAUGUCAGAUAUUCUGAUUUUAGAUUUUGGUACACUUCAGCUCAGCAGUAAUGAUUGAGGUUUAUGGGAGACUACUAAUUUAUGUAUGGAAGAAAUAAUGAAGCAUAUGAAAGUUUGAUGUGCAGCUUCAAAAUAAAGACUGAAAUAAAGACUGUGCAGCUUCUCUUCAUAAGAUCAGGUAAACCAAUGUUCAACUUUUAGACGUUCAAAUUAGUUUGAGUAGUAUUGGUAAUAUAUGUGCAUAUAUUUGCACAUGUAUAUCAACCCUGAUGACUAUUUUACAUACAUAUCCUGCUGGUCACUUUAGAAAAUCAAAUGGGGGCGUACCAGUGCAAACACUGUCACCUUUAUAGAUAGAAAUAGAAAUUUGGUUAUUCAUAUUAGGGUUCUGGUACCAUUUGAAUCUAAGCCCACUCAUGGUCUGUGUCUUUGUAAUGUGACUAUGAAACCACUCAGACAUAAAUGGAAGUCUCAGUUGGUUCAACUACCUCUGUCCUAAUCCUUUUGGAAUGUUUCUUCCCUCACUGUUUUUAUUGUUAAAUAUUACUAUAUGUUAGUUUACCCUUUAUUUCUGUAGUACUACAUUUGCUGUUCUGAGUAUGU
Castor canadensis (American beaver) is the source of this 1322-nucleotide non-coding RNA. NCBI's taxonomy places the organism in Eukaryota, Metazoa, Chordata, Mammalia, Rodentia, Castoridae. The record is from RefSeq and is a predicted model, not a curated record.